Molecule: transfer RNA, 73 nt
Filed under: Dreissena polymorpha
Lineage: Eukaryota; Metazoa; Mollusca; Bivalvia; Myida; Dreissenidae
Description: tRNA-Ile
Source: RNAcentral
GCCCGGUUAGCUCAGUCGAGAGAGCUUUCGCUCUAUUAGCGAGUUGUCCCCGGUUAGAGUCCGGGACUGGCCG